GACGAACGCUGGCGGCGUGCUUAACACAUGCAAGUUGAACGGAAAGACCCUGCUUUUGUGGGGUGCUCGAGUGGCGAACGGGUGAGUAACACGUGAGUAACCUGCCCUUGACUUUGGGAUAACUUCAGGAAACUGGGGCUAAUACCGGAUAGGAGCUCCUGCUGCAUGGUGGGGGUUGGAAAGUUUCGGCGGUUGGGGAUGGACUCGCGGCUUAUCAGCUUGUUGGUGGGGUAGUGGCUUACCAAGGCUUUGACGGGUAGCCGGCCUGAGAGGGUGACCGGCCACAUUGGGACUGAGAUACGGCCCAGACUCCUACGGGAGGCAGCAGUGGGGAAUAUUGCACAAUGGGCGGAAGCCUGAUGCAGCAACGCCGCGUGCGGGAUGACGGCCUUCGGGUUGUAAACCGCUUUCGCCUGUGACGAAGCGUGAGUGACGGUAAUGGGUAAAGAAGCACCGGCUAACUACGUG
Molecule: ribosomal RNA, 468 nt
Filed under: uncultured bacterium
Lineage: Bacteria
Description: partial 16S ribosomal RNA
Rfam family: Bacterial small subunit ribosomal RNA
Source: RNAcentral